Molecule: ribosomal RNA, 471 nt
Filed under: uncultured bacterium
Lineage: Bacteria
Description: partial 16S ribosomal RNA
Rfam family: Bacterial small subunit ribosomal RNA
Source: RNAcentral
GACGAACGCUGGCGGCGUGCUUAACACAUGCAAGUCGAACGAUGAACCCGGAGCUUGCUCUGGGGGAUUAGUGGCGAACGGGUGAGUAACACGUGAGUAACCUGCCCUGGACUCUGGGAUAAGCGUUGGAAACGACGUCUAAUACCGAUAGGACCUUGGAUCGCAUGAUCUGGGGUGGAAAGUUUUUUCGGUCUGGGAUGGACUCGCGGCCUAUCAGCUUGUUGGUGAGGUAAUGGCUCACCAAGGCGUCGACGGGUAGCCGGCCUGAGAGGGUGACCGGCCACACUGGGACUGAGACACGGCCCAGACUCCUACGGGAGGCAGCAGUGGGGAAUAUUGCACAAUGGGCGAAAGCCUGAUGCAGCAACGCCGCGUGCGGGAUGACGGCCUUCGGGUUGUAAACCGCUUUUAGUAGGGAAGAAGGGCUUCGGCUUGACGGUACCUGCAGAAAAAGGACCGGCUAACUACGUG